UACGUAGGGUGCAAGCGUUAAUCGGAAUUACUGGGCGUAAAGCGUGCGCAGGCGGUUAUGUAAGACAGAUGUGAAAUGCCCGGGCUUAACCUGGGAACUGCAUUUGUGACUGCAUGGCUAGAAUCUGGCAGAGGGGGGUAGAAUUCCACGUGUAGCAGUGAAAUGCGUAGAUAUGUGGAGGAAUACCGAUGGCGAAGGCGGCGACCUGGGUCGAGACUGACGCUGAGGCGCGAAAGCGUGGGGAGCAAACAGG
This 253-nucleotide ribosomal RNA is filed under the name uncultured bacterium. RNAcentral's name for it is "partial 16S ribosomal RNA". It matches the Rfam family "Bacterial small subunit ribosomal RNA", at positions 524 to 776 of the family's 1533-position model. The record is from RNAcentral.